AGGAUGAACGCUGGCGGCGUGCUUAACACAUGCAAGUCGAACGGUGAACACGGAGCUUGCUCUGUGGGAUCAGUGGCGAACGGGUGAGUAACACGUGAGCAACCUGCCCCUGACUCUGGGAUAAGCGCUGGAAACGGCGUCUAAUACUGGAUAUGUGACGUGACCGCAUGGUCGGCGUCUGGAAAGAAUUUCGGUUGGGGAUGGGCUCGCGGCCUAUCAGCUUGUUGGUGAGGUAAUGGCUCACCAAGGCGUCGACGGGUAGCCGGCCUGAGAGGGUGACCGGCCACACUGGGACUGAGACACGGCCCAGACUCCUACGGGAGGCAGCAGUGGGGAAUAUUGCACAAUGGGCGCAAGCCUGAUGCAGCAACGCCGCGUGAGGGAUGACGGCCUUCGGGUUGUAAACCUCUUUUAGCAGGGAAGAAGCGAAAGUGACGGUACCUGCAGAAAAAGCACCGGCUAACUACGUGCCAGCAGCCGCGGUAAUACGUAGGGUGCAAGCGUUAUCCGGAAUUAUUGGGCGUAAAGAGCUCGUAGGCGGUUUGUCGCGUCUGCUGUGAAAUCUGGAGGCUCAACCUCCAGCCUGCAGUGGGUACGGGCAGACUAGAGUGCGGUAGGGGAGAUUGGAAUUCCUGGUGUAGCGGUGGAAUGCGCAGAUAUCAGGAGGAACACCGAUGGCGAAGGCAGAUCUCUGGGCCGUAACUGACGCUGAGGAGCGAAAGGGUGGGGAGCAAACAGGCUUAGAUACCCUGGUAGUCCACCCCGUAAACGUUGGGAACU
This 780-nucleotide ribosomal RNA is filed under the name Microbacterium sp. RNAcentral's name for it is "bacterial SSU rRNA". It matches the Rfam family "Bacterial small subunit ribosomal RNA", at positions 26 to 817 of the family's 1533-position model. The record is from RNAcentral. Lineage: Bacteria; Bacillati; Actinomycetota; Actinomycetes; Micrococcales; Microbacteriaceae.